GACGGAGGGGGCUAGCGUUGUUCGGAAUUACUGGGCGUAAAGUGUGCGCAGGCGGCCGAGCAAGUCGAGUGUGAAAGCCCCGAGCUUAACUUGGGAACUGCGCUCGAAACUACUUGGCUAGAGUGUGGCAGAGGGAGGUGGAAUUCCACGUGUAGCGGUGAAAUGCGUAGAGAUGUGGAGGAACACCGAUGGCGAAGGCAGCCUCCUGGGCCAACACUGACGCUCAUGCACGAAAGCGUGGGGAGCAAACAGG
RNAcentral lists this ribosomal RNA (253 nucleotides) under uncultured bacterium. RNAcentral's name for it is "partial 16S ribosomal RNA". It matches the Rfam family "Bacterial small subunit ribosomal RNA", at positions 524 to 776 of the family's 1533-position model. The record is from RNAcentral.